CGACCGGCGCACGGGUGAGUAACACGUAUGCAAUCCACCUGUAACAGGGGGAUAACCCGGAGAAAUCCGGACUAAUACCCCAUAAUAUGGGCUCUCCGCAUGGAGGGUCCAUUAAGGAGAGCAAUUUUGGUUACAGACGAGCAUGCGCUCCAUUAGCCAGUUGGCGGGGUAACGGCCCACCAAAGCGACGAUGGAUAGGGGUUCUGAGAGGAAGGUCCCCCACAUUGGAACUGAGACACGGUCCAA
RNAcentral lists this ribosomal RNA (246 nucleotides) under uncultured bacterium. Its description in RNAcentral is "partial 16S ribosomal RNA". It matches the Rfam family "Bacterial small subunit ribosomal RNA", at positions 92 to 334 of the family's 1533-position model. The record is from RNAcentral.